GACGAACGCUGGCGGCGUGCUUAACACAUGCAAGUCGAACGGAAAGGCACUGCUUUUGUGGGGUGCUCGAGUGGCGAACGGGUGAGUAACACGUGAGUAACCUGCCCUUGACUUUGGGAUAACUUCAGGAAACUGGGGCUAAUACCGGAUAGGAGCUCCUGCUGCAUGGUGGGGGUUGGAAAGUUUCGGCGGUUGGGGAUGGACUCGCGGCUUAUCAGCUUGUUGGUGGGGUAGUGGCUUACCAAGGCUUUGACGGGUAGCCGGCCUGAGAGGGUGACCGGCCACAUUGGGACUGAGAUACGGCCCAGACUCCUACGGGAGGCAGCAGUGGGGAAUAUUGCACAAUGGGCGGAAGCCUGAUGCAGCAACGCCGCGUGCGGGAUGACGGCCUUCGGGUUGUAAACCGCUUUCGCCUGUGACGAAGCGUGAGUGACGGUAAUGGGUAAAGAAACACCGGCUAACUACGU
This 467-nucleotide ribosomal RNA is filed under the name uncultured bacterium. RNAcentral describes it as "partial 16S ribosomal RNA". It matches the Rfam family "Bacterial small subunit ribosomal RNA", at positions 28 to 506 of the family's 1533-position model. The record is from RNAcentral.